This is a non-coding RNA of Caenorhabditis elegans, 131 nucleotides long. Lineage: Eukaryota; Metazoa; Nematoda; Chromadorea; Rhabditida; Rhabditidae. The record is from Ensembl.
CAAAAAAUGAUUUGCACGAAGUGGGAUUCGAACCCACGCACCCGUACGAGUACCAGAACGCCCAAUCGGCUUCGAACUUGAAGCAAGCUAUUGCUUGAGUCUGGCGCCUUAGACCACUCGGCCAUCCGUGC